GUGCAGCAGGCGCGAAAACUUUACAAUGUGCGAAAGCACGAUAAGGGAACUCUGAGUGCCUCCUAAGGAGGCUGUUCAGGUGUCUAAAAAGCACCUGGAGUAAGGGCUGGGUAAGACCGGUGCCAGCCGCCGCGGUAACACCGGCAGCCCAGGUGGUAGCCACUUUUAUUGGGUCUAAAGCGUCCGUAGCCGGUUGAGUAAGUUCCUUGGGAAAUUUGGCUGCUCAACAGUCAAGCUUCCAGGGGAUACUGCUCGACUUGGGACUGGGAGAGGUCAGAGGUACUCCAGGGGUAGGGUGAAAUCCAUUAAUCCCUGGGGGACCACCGGUAGCGAAGGCGUCUGACCAGACCAGGUCCGACGGUGAGGGACGAAGGCUAGGGUCGCGAACCGGAUUAAAUACCCCUGUAGU
This 409-nucleotide ribosomal RNA is filed under the name uncultured microorganism. Its description in RNAcentral is "bacterial SSU rRNA". It matches the Rfam family "Archaeal small subunit ribosomal RNA", at positions 330 to 745 of the family's 1478-position model. The record is from RNAcentral.